AUUGAACGCUGGCGGCAGGCCUAACACAUGCAAGUCGAGCGGAUGAAGGGAGCUUGCUCCUGGAUUCAGCGGCGGACGGGUGAGUAAUGCCUAGGAAUCUGCCUGGUAGUGGGGGAUAACGUCCGGAAACGGGCGCUAAUACCGCAUACGUCCUGAGGGAGAAAGUGGGGGAUCUUCGGACCUCACGCUAUCAGAUGAGCCUAGGUCGGAUUGGCUAGUUGGUGGGGUAAAGGCCUACCAAGGCGACGAUCCGUAACUGGUCUGAGAGGAUGAUCAGUCACACUGGAACUGAGACACGGUCCAGACUCCUACGGGAGGCAGCAGUGGGGAAUAUUGGACAAUGGGCGAAAGCCUGAUCCAGCCAUGCCGCGUGUGUGAAGAAGGUCUUCGGAUUGUAAAGCACUUUAAGUUGGGAGGAAGGGCAGUAAGUUAAUACCUUGCUGUUUUGACGUUACCAACAGAAUAAGCACCGGCCAACUUCGUG
This 484-nucleotide ribosomal RNA is filed under the name uncultured bacterium. RNAcentral describes it as "partial 16S ribosomal RNA". It matches the Rfam family "Bacterial small subunit ribosomal RNA", at positions 30 to 507 of the family's 1533-position model. The record is from RNAcentral.